ACGCGUCUCACAAACUGCAGUUUGUGAAAACAGCUCUGUGCUUCCAGACGUCAGAUUUCCGUACCGCAGCGGUUUUUAACGCGGUGUCAAAAGUCUCACUUCCCGCCAGCUGGACCCGGUUGUACCGCGCUGCUCUCCAGGGCCGGGGCCGGGGCCCUGCCCGGCGCAGACCGUAGCUGCUGUGACCCAAAGAGCGGGUCCAUUCGCCCUGGGUGCAAAACGCCACACUACGCACAGGGCGGAGGCAUUUCAUAGAUCGCAUUCAAGGCACAGCAGCAGCAUUACAAGACAUGGAUUUAGAAACGCUGGCACACAUACCAGGCCCGCUUUAACAGGAAGAGCCACACAGAGAAGUGCCCACCGUGCCUGAAACCUGCACAGUACGCCUCGCUGCCUCUAACAGCCAGCAGAUUCUCCUGUUAUCUCGACUUCUAGAGUCUGCUGACUGAGGCCACAAGCACCUUACUGUACACAGACCAUUUAUCUCAUUCUCAAUGGAGCCAUUAUGUCAAACCUUUGCAGCUGGUCUAAAAAACAACUGGGAAGGCUGGUUUUUAGUGAGAAUUUAUUCAAUGCCUCAAUAAUUUUUAUAAAAUAAAAUUUCCCUUUCCAGAAAAUGCUA
This is a non-coding RNA of Phalacrocorax carbo (great cormorant), 622 nucleotides long. The record is from RefSeq and is a predicted model, not a curated record. NCBI's taxonomy places the organism in Eukaryota, Metazoa, Chordata, Aves, Suliformes, Phalacrocoracidae.